Molecule: ribosomal RNA, 881 nt
Filed under: Micarea denigrata
Lineage: Eukaryota; Fungi; Ascomycota; Lecanoromycetes; Lecanorales; Micareaceae
Description: SSU rRNA
Rfam family: Bacterial small subunit ribosomal RNA
Source: RNAcentral
AAUAGCCUAACGGCUGAACCAGCAACUUGGAAGAACGAAUAGUGAAAACUAAUUGUGCCAAAAUUUUUUUGGUACAAUACCGACUUAGUCGGAUAAAGUUCUGGAUAGAAUUAUGAUAAUGACAUUUUCUAUUUAUGUGUCUUGACCAAAAUACGUGCCAGCAGUCGCGGUAAUACGUAUAAGACUAGUGUUAUUCAUCUUUAAUAGGUUUAAAGGGUACCUAGACGGUAAGUAAAGCCUUAAUUGGAACUAAUUUACUAGAGUUACUUACGAAGGAGCAAUAAAGUACUAGUGGUGUAGAGAUAAAAUUCUAUAAUACCUUUUUUCAUGUGAAAAUUAAUGGCACAAGUAUAGGCGAAGGCAUCUCCUUAUGUGAUAACUGACGUUGAGGGACGAAGGCUUUGUGUAGCGAACAGGAUUAGAUACCCUGGUAGUCGGAGCAGAAAAUGAUGAGUGUCAUAGGUUAGGCAAUUGCUUAUUCUAUAAAUGAAAAUGUAAGCACUCCACCUCAAGAGUAAUUUGGCAACAUUGGAACUGAAAUCAUUAGACCGUUUCUGAAACCAGCAGUGAAGUAUGUUGUUUAAUUUGAUAAUCCGCAAAAAACCUUACCACAACUUGAAUAUUUAUAUUUGUUAUAAAUACAAGCGUUGCACGGCUGUCUUCAGUUAAUGUCGCGAGAUUAUGGUUAGCUCCAUUAAAUUAACGUAAACCCUUACUUUAUUUUUAAAUAAAGUAGUUCUCCGCUAUAUUGGAUAAGAUAAAAGGGACUAAGACAAGUCAUCAUGGCCUAAAUGUUGUGGGCUACAGACGUGCCACGUGAGCCUUUACAAAAGGAUGUGAAAUUAUAAAAUUAAGCUAAUCCCUAAAAUUGGCUAUACCAU